UCAUAUUUAUCGCAUUAAUGCAAAUAUUAUAUAUAUUUUGUCCAUUAGAUUACAUAAACCACCCAUAGUGCUUCUCAGCAUGCGCGCUCAUCAUCUGCCGCUUCCAUCAUCACCAACGCUUCCAACCCUUCCAACGUCAGAAAAAAAAAACAACAAAACAAAACCACUAUAGAUGCGACGGUCUCAGAUCCCAGGAACCAAAUUGAUUCAAAAUCCUGGAAUUAAAUUAAUCGUAAGCGCUCGCAAGUUUCAGUGCUCUCGUUAGUGCCUAUAGUUAGUGCCUUAUAUAUAAGAAUGUUGGAUAAAACUAAUUGGAAUCGGCUUCAAAGUCUGGGAAGAAUCGACCCCCGUUUCCAUGGACAAAGGGCAGACUUCCUGGAGGUCCUAGAAGAGAAUAUUUUCGUGUACAAUGGACAUUCCUGAAUAUCUGAAUUUUAAAAGUAGGUGACACGAAAUUUCAAUAAAGAUGGGAAUCCCAAGUCGCUGGGACAUUCGAAUGAGAACCGGGACGAAAAUUUAUUGGCUACUACAGCCACCGACGAACUGCAGCUGAUGCAGAUGAUUAUAUUUAUUUCCUUUUUUGUUUGCAUGUUUCAUGAAACGAGUAUGUGUACAUAUAAUUAUUUUCAAAGAAUUAAAUAAAAAUCUUUUGUUUGUACAAAUAUA
Long non-coding RNA from Armigeres subalbatus, 666 nucleotides. RefSeq lists it as uncharacterized. Lineage: Eukaryota; Metazoa; Arthropoda; Insecta; Diptera; Culicidae. The record is from RefSeq and is a predicted model, not a curated record. The transcript has 2 exons.